CGGGGUUGCGGACAGUGUCUGGUGGGUAGUUUGACUGGGGCGGUCUCCUCCCAAAGAGUAACGGAGGAGCACGAAGGUUAGCUAAUCCUGGUCGGACAUCAGGAGGUUAGUGCAAUGGCAUAAGCUAGCUUGACUGCGAGCGUGACGGCGCGAGCAGGUGCGAAAGCAGGUCAUAGUGAUCCGGUGGUUCUGAAUGGAAGGGCCAUCGCUCAACGGAUAAAAGGUACUCCGGGGAUAACAGGCUGAUACCGCCCAAGAGUUCAUAUCGACGGCGGUGUUUGGCACCUCGAUGUCGGCUCAUCACAUCCUGGGGCUGAAGUAGGUCCCAAGGGUAUGGCUGUUCGCCAUUUAAAGUGGUACGCGAGCUGGGUUUAGAACGUCGUGAGACAGUUCGGUCCCUAUCUGCCGUGGGCGCUGGAGAAUUGAGGGGGGCUGCUCCUAGUACGAGAGGACCGGAGUGGACGCAUCACUGGUGUUCGGGUUGUCAUGCCAAUGGCACUGCCCGGUAGCUAAAUGCGGAAGAGAUAAGUGCUGAAAGCAUCUAAGCACGAAACUUGCCCCGAGAUGAGUUCUCCCUGAGACUAUAAGUCUCCUGAAGGAACGUUGAAGACGACGACGUUGAUAGGCCGGGUGUGUAAGCGCAGCGAUGCGUUGAGCUAACCGGUACUAAUGAACCGUGAGGCUUAACCUUACAACGCCGAAG
This 703-nucleotide ribosomal RNA is filed under the name Klebsiella variicola. RNAcentral's name for it is "bacterial LSU rRNA". It matches the Rfam family "Bacterial large subunit ribosomal RNA", at positions 2240 to 2925 of the family's 2925-position model. Lineage: Bacteria; Pseudomonadati; Pseudomonadota; Gammaproteobacteria; Enterobacterales; Enterobacteriaceae. The record is from RNAcentral.